Molecule: ribosomal RNA, 390 nt
Filed under: uncultured Alphaproteobacteria bacterium
Lineage: Bacteria; Pseudomonadati; Pseudomonadota; Alphaproteobacteria
Description: bacterial SSU rRNA
Rfam family: Bacterial small subunit ribosomal RNA
Source: RNAcentral
GAGUUUGAUCGUGGCUCAGAACGAACGCUGGCGGCAGGCUUAACACAUGCAAGUCGAACGCGUGUAGCAAUACACGAGUGGCGCACGGGUGAGUAACACGUGGAUAUCUGCCUUUUGGUUCGGAAUAACCCUGGGAAACUAGGGCUAAUACCGGAUGGUUCCUACGGGAUAAAGAUUUAUCGCCAAAAGAUGAGUCCGCGUCCGAUUAGCUAGUUGGUGAGGUAAUGGCUCACCAAGGCGACGAUCGGUAGCUGGUCUGAGAGGACGAUCAGCCACACUGGGACUGAGACACGGCCCAGACUCCUACGGGAGGCAGCAGUGGGGAAUAUUGGACAAUGGGGGCAACCCUGAUCCAGCCAUGCCGCGUGAGUGAUGAAGGCCUUCGGUUGU